CAAAUCCAUUGAAAUGGUAGUGCCUUAGUUUUGGAGAAUGGACUAUUUCUCUAAUUCUCUAUUGAGUGUGGUACAAAAGGAGUCUGGUGUGAAUGAAGAGCACAAAGUGAUGUUCAUCAAGUGCACUUCUAGAGGGUUGCUGUCUUUGUGGUGGCUUAGCAACAUUUAUCUUGAUAUACUUCACCCAAAACAGAAGUUAUUGUUAGAAUUAUUUUGUUUAUCCCUUUUCAAAGUUGUUUUCUAUUUAAAUAUAACUUAGUGAUGUUGAUGUAAACCAAAAAUCAGAAUACACAAUUGUAACCGCAAGUUCUCAAAUCAUGGGGUUCUAACAGUGGCCCAAUAUGGAUGUAGUGCUCAAUAUAAGAUAUGUAAUUCUAGUUUUAGGUUUCUUGUUAUUUUUUAUUCAUAUCUUCUCUCAUUGCAGAAGAAAGUUGUGCAUUGUAGACUGUUUAGAUGAAACGCAAAUUGAUGUAAAAGAAGAGAAAAGAAACAGUAAUCAGGCCAGAUAAGGAACUGGAAAAAGAAGAAUUGAAACCCUCAAUGUUACUUGUUUUAUAAACCUGUUCUCUACCUGUGUUUCAUAAUGACAUUUGUUAAUGUUUCCAAUGUUUGUGUGGUUGUAGGUGGUCCACAAGCUGCAUGUAUGGGCUGUGCUGGCUUUGCCGCAUUCUCAGUCGUCAUAGAGAAGUUUCUAGAGAGGCAUCAAUAAGUGAAUUAACUUGGAUCAAUUUUGUAUUCUUCGAUCAUAGUUUAAGUUCUUGAUCAAAAUAUUUUGCCCAUACGAUAGAGGGACGUGAUAGGGAGCAAGACAAAUUGCAAUAUUAUUUCACAUCUGUAAUUUAUUUGUAUACAAUGUCAUUGGCGGAUGCAUUCUCCGAACUUGGGAAAGCUCUGUGAUGACAUGGUUUAGUAUUGGAAAAUGCCAAGCAUUACGAAAACCAUAGGGAGCAAUAAUUGUGAUGAACUCUUUAAAGUGCUUAGCACUCCUGUUUAGUGGUAAUAGUUAAUUUCAAUAGAUUUUUCUUUGUAAUUCAUUCUUUUUUUUUGGAAUAUUUAUGGAGUGUUCCUAGGCUUCUUAAAAUCCACCAUUGUUUUCCUUUUUAAAGAGAUAGAAUAUGCUGACAAAUAUAUGCUGAGUUCCGUUAUCUAAUUGUGCUUCUGUAACUACCACAACAAAAAAAAUAUGUUUUUCUAUCUUUAAAAAUGAAACAGUCAUGUUCUUGUGAAAAAAGAGAUAUUCCAAAUUUUGUCCUGAAAUGAUGUCAUACAGUGCAAACGUUACCACGGAAAAGAUAUCCCAACAUGUUUGUAUAGUUAUAUAAAGAUUUUUUCAAUAUAAGCCACACGAUGUAGAUAAUUAAAUUAGCCUAAGCAAUAAUGCAAUAGAAUAUUCACACAAUGGAUUCUUAUAAAACAACAUACACAGAUGAACAUAAAUUCAAACAUGUAACUUACUUUCAAAAUAUUGGAACUAAGCUUUCAACAUAAUCUAUGGCAUCGUCCCAAUAUGCAUUAUCUCUAGUUCUAUUAUCGGUAACAGGUCUACAUACAAUAAUUUAUGUUCGCUUAGUUCUGUUAUCUCUCCUAUUAUAGAGAAUUGUUUCAGAUUCUUCAAUUGAAUGAUACAACAUUUAAACAAACUUUUCAACAAACAGUUGAUAUGCAUGAAAAUAAGUCCCCAUUGGUUUUAGGUAUUUGACAUUGUGGAUUAUUAUUGUAUAUUGAAAACAUAGGAGCAAAAUAAAAGAGUAAUAAAUCAAAGCAAAAGAGAUUUGAACGAAGUUUUAGGGUUACUAACCAGAGGGGAGUCACAGCCGGAGAGAGGCGUAGUGAUUCUGAAUUUGAAGUAGCGCAAUACACAUGGUUUUCAGAUACAAAAUGCCAAGUUUUNAGAGAGAGAGAGAGAGAGAGAGAGAGAGAGAGAGAGAGAGAGAGAGGAAAAAAAUCAUUUGAGUUACUACAAACUAUGAAUACGGUGUUUGAUCACUUGAUUUUAAAAUCUUUGAACAAAAUAGUUAGGAUAACUUUUCGCUCAAUAACUCUCUUCAAUGGUUAUUCUCCCUAUAGAUGAGUAUAACCAUUGAAGGUUUAAGAAUUUCAAUGUAAGUAACAAUUAUAUAAUUAGUUUUAUGCCUAAACCUAAUCAAUAAUUGAACGGUUAAAAUAGGGUAAAUCUCAAAAUUAGGUUCAAAAAUCCUUGUUGAUCUAAAAUUGUAUUAUGGACAAAGUUAAGGUUAAUAAUCAUUAAACACGUAAAAAGCAUUAAGAAUAAGAUUAACCGAAUAAAAUAACUAAGUAAUUGACUAGAAUUCAAAGCAUCUUUUAAAGCUACGUGAACAAAUAAUUAAGAAAAGUUCCUCUUCCAUGACUUAACCUAGCAAGGAUUUAUCUACUAUAUAUAUAUAUAUAUAUAUAUAUAUAUAUAUAUAUAUAUAUAGUAGAUAAAAUAACACACAAAUACAAAUAAAAUAACACAGAAAAGGAUCAUCUGUUGAUGAUUCCUUGGCUCCCGAAUUGUUCCGGUCGCUUCAAUCCUUCGGAAAUCGUGUUUCUACCUUUGUAUGCUCGUCAAAAGGUGUUUUUCCAGUAACCUAUGGGUUCACUUUUUUAUAGGCAUCAAAUUUCCCAAGUUUUAGGGAAAUUGGUUCCCGAUACAAGUAUAUUCCUCGCGAUAUGAGGCAGCCAAUGAGCAUCCCUUUUUGGCAUGUCACUCUAUAUCGCGAUGUGGGGCUCACAACCCGCGAUGCGAGAUAGACAAUAGCGAUCAUCUUGGUUUCCAAUCGUAUUCGCGCGAUACGGGGCUCAUAGCUCGCGAUGCGAGUUAGGCAGAAGUUGAUUCCUUGGUUUCUUUAUUUCUUGCUUCAUUUCUUCUUGCCAAAACGUCGCUAACGAAUAUACCUCAAACUUAAUCAACGAUAAACUUAUAAUUUUAUUUUUAUCCUACUAAGUUAUAAUUUCUAAAUUGGUCCCCCAAACUUGAUUUCGGGCUCCGUUCCUAAAUUGCUGGAUUGCAUGAGCAUGGUCCAUGCCGCAGUAGAACCUCAUCAAGGCCAGUGUUCUUUUUUCCCUUAUAUUAGUAACAAACAAAUAGUGUGAACACAUUGCAUAAAUAGGAUAUGCUUGAUAGUUAAUUCCACCUUCUCAUUCUACACAAAGUAUGAAAAGAACCAAUUGAACUUGAGAUGCCGUUUACGUUCAUUUCCAAUUUCCAUCUAUUUUAUUAUUAAACAGGAAUGGCAACUUCCAAGUGCUUGAAAGUCCAUCACCUAAAAUUGACAAUUGUUAUCAGUCACUUUUUUUAAUAAUAUUUGUGACUCCACACAUGUACCUUUGUAAUAUAUACAAUUUAUAUCAUUUCAAUAUUAAUAGUCUGUGUCGUACACGGGACAUUAGACUGGUAAUAUUAUAUAAUUUAAAUCUUCGUUUUUUAUUUUGAAAUUAAAUCAUCUUUGAAAUUUAUAACUCGCAAAAACUUGUAAAACAUAAGUUUUAUGAUGAUAUAAUUAAAAGUGAUAUAAGAAUUAAAACAUAACCAGUAAAAAUUAAUUUGAUUCAUAUUUUUUUCUUAGGGAUGAUCAAAACUCAUCUUAAAUUGGAUUUCUCGGAAACAUAAUAUUAGAGGUACGAAUAUGUUAAAAAUAGUGUCAAAUAAUGAAUAUACAUCCUUGUACCUAAAUAAUACUCCUAAGUAGAUAUAUGAAAACAUAUACUCCCUCCGUUUUUAAAUAUAAGCAAAAUUGACUUUUUAGAUUCAUUAAAUUAAUGAUGUAUAUAGUCCAUAAUAUAAACCACAUACAUCAUUAAUUAAAUGAACCUAAAAAAUCACUUUUACUUAUAUUUAAAAACGGAUGGAGUAUAGAGUAAUGAAUAUAAUUAACUAAAAAAAUUAUGAGUAUACAUCCUCCAUCAUAAAAGAAUGAAUAUACACCAUAGCUUCGAAUUAAAAUUAAUGCUUGAGAAAAAAUCAAUUUUAAACUUCGUAUAUAAUCUAUAAAAACAAGAUUUCUUAUAUCUAUCCAAACUUUUUCUUAUAUAAAAUCAAACUUUUAUUUUGACAAAAGAAAAAAAUCAAACUUAAGAAUGGGUACUCCCCCUAAUAUACACCCAUCGUUUCGUGAUACACACACUAAAUACUAAUUGAAAAAUAUAUAAUUUUAUAUAUAAAAUUUAUCCUCAUGAGAAAAUUUCAAUUAAAAUAUGUUGCUCCAUAAUAGUUAGACAGUGACGUAAAUACAUUUGAACCAAAUUAAUUUUUUUUAACCAAGGAUGCACGCAACUUAGGAGAUUGAUCCUCACAUAUUUACUUAAGCUAUUAAUCUCUUCUAACAUAUAUGUUUUCAUAUACACAAGUCAGAGAACGAACUUUAUACACACACAAAAAAAAAAUUGUAUAUGUAUGUUGAGAACAAACUCACAACGUCCAAAUUAAUAGCAUAUAAUGACAAAAUGACUACAAAAAAUAUGAUGAAAUCUAAAUCAUCAUAAUAUUCAUGCUUCCGGAUCUGCAACGUUGGCGUCCAAAUCAUUGAUUGAAUCUGUGAUUGACUGAAGCUAAUCUUUCAAUAUGAAUCAAACAAACACUGCAACAAAAUGUGAAAUCAAACAAUGCCGCACAAGACGACGAACAACACAACGCCGCACUCGGACGACGAAAUCACGAAACAAAACACAAAAAAAACACUUGAUAUAUGUGGAAAUCACUUAUUUAGAUUGAAAGAAAAUGGAAAAAAGGAUGCACAGGGUGAUUCUAGGUCAAAAAAUGAUCUAAAACCACCCCUCCUCGACGAGUGAAAGAGAAAUAAAACUUAAAGAAGUUAGAGUUUCUCUCACUAAAAAACUAGGGUCGGCUCGCAAACAAAUUACACUCUUAAAAUAAAUAGAAAUUUUAAAACUGAUCAUUGAAUGUAUAUUUUUUUACAAUCAUAACCCUUUUACUUUUUACAACAAAUUAAACAAAUAAAUUUAAAAUAAUAAUAUCAAGCUAUCAUUGUCUUGUGUAGGGGUGACCCAAUAAGAUUACAUUUUUAAUUAAUCUUGGAAGGCAUGAAACACCAUGCUUUUCUAUUGACCAUUAGAGAUUUCAGAAAGCAACCGUUAUUAUCUCAAAUAACAUUCGAACAAUAAUUGCAUGUUUUUCCAAGCCCAUGCAACAACUAUAAAUAGUUAAAGCUUUCUCUCAUUUUUCCACAAGCAAAACACAAAUCGUUUAUUCCAUUCUAUCUUUCAUUCUCUCAAACUUCUACUAAAAUUACUUCAAUUCAAUCCAAUGGCAUCUUUCCAAUCCUUCAACUUUGAAACUGAAAUUCCACAAGAGCUUCUCAUAUCUCAAAUCAUGCAAAUUCAUACAACCAUUUCUAAGCUAGAAUCUCUUAGGCCUUCAAAACAAGUCAACACCCUUUUGACUCACUUAGUCAAACUUUGCAUCCUCCCUUCAUCCAUUGAGAUUGAAGCCUUGCCACAAGAGGUUAAGACAAUGCGUGAAAGCCUCAUUCCCAUUUGUGGCAAAGCUGAAGGACUUUUGGAGCUUGAAUUCUCAACUUUCAUUAGCCAAACACCAAAUCCAGCAAAAAAUUUAACACUUUUCCCUUACUAUGGAAACUAUGUUAAACUAGCAAACUAUGAAAACAAAAUCCUCAAAGAAAAUGGUGUAGUGGAUGCAAAAAAAGUAGCUUUUAUAGGAUCUGGUCCAAUGCCACUAAGUUCAAUUAUAUUGGCAACUCAUCACAUGGAAUCAACUCACUUUGAUAAUUUUGAUAUCGAUGAGAAAGCUAAUGAGGUUGCUAGCAAGAUCGUGGCUUCGGAUAAAGCACUUGAAAAGAGGAUGAAAUUUGUGACACAAGAUAUAAUGGAAGCUAAGGAGAGGUUAGGGCAAUAUGAUUGCAUUUUUUUGGCAGCACUUGUUGGUAUGCGUAGAAGUGAAAAAGUGAAGAUUUUGGGACAUAUAAGUAAGUAUAUGAAGGAAGGUAGUGUUUUGCUUGUAAGAAGUGCAAAAGGGAGUAGAGCUUUUUUGUAUCCUAUUGUUGAGGAGAAUGAUAUGGUAAAUUUUGAGGUGCUUACAAUUUUUCAUCCAACGGAUGAUGUUAUCAACUCGGUUAUUCUUCUUCGCAAACCUAAAGCUUGAUCAAUAAGCUAAGUUACCAAAUAAGUUGAAUUUCUACUUGAAGAAGAAUCUAUUUAUAGUGUAGAUUCAAAUGUGUGUUGUUCUUUUGAUUGAAAGUGUUUCUUUUCCUAUGAUAUACUUUGUAUAAUUAGUGAGGUUUAGUGUUAUGUUCUAGUGCUUGCCUCAUUCGUCUUACUUUAUAAGAUGAUUGAAGAUUAUGUAUCGUAAUUCCAAAUAAUAAAUGAACAAGCUUUGUGUUUAUUUUUUAAUUGUUUUACUUUUUUUUAGAAAAGAAGGUGCUAAUCCCCAAAGACUACAAUGGAACAAACCUGAGAGAUUUGAUUCAAAGGUUGAUCAAAAACCUUCAUCGAAGUAACUUCACACGUCAUAAGCAUCUGCUACCUUGUUUGCUUGACAAUACAUAUAGCAAAUACUUGAUGGGAUAAAACCACAAGUGCACGGUUCUACUGAAGUAGUAAAAAUAGAGUAUCGUUUCGAUAGGGAGUUGUUCAAUUCAAUUAACUUUAGUUGAUGAUUAGAAAAGGUUAAGUUGCAAAGUUGGGGUUUUCAAACGGUUAAAAGAAAAUAUAAUAAUAAAAAAGAGCCUUGGGAUUAUUGGUUCAUCAUAAUGACAAACCCUUCACAAACCAAAACCUUAAACCUAUAACUUUAUGUUAGACCUACUUUCUAAUGACAAAUUUCUCUUUAGUCUAUCACAUCUCCUUUCGGUCUCGGUGAGUGUGUUUCUCUAGCAACCACGACUAUUUUCAUGGUUGAUUGCUAUUGAAAUCCUUCAAGCUCGAAACUUUAUUGUCUCAAGGUUUGCUAGACUAUUUUAAUGUUUUGCAAUCCUUAUCUAUAUUCACUUGUUCCAAUAUUAAAACUUCAUCUUUCGAUCAUUCGCUUAAUAUUUGUGAUAAAUCAAUAACAACUAUUAAACUUCAUCUUUCAAUCCUUCGAUUAAUACUUGUUAUUGAUUAUAAGAACGGUGAAAUAGAUUAGAAAUCAAGGUUACAUAAAAUUAGGGAUUAAAGCUUGGUUUGAUUAGGAUUAUGUCAUUAGACUUAUCCAACAAUCUCAAGACAAGAAGAGUCUACUCACUCAUGUUCAUCGUAGACAUUGAGAAGAAGAAGAAGAAAAGCAUAAAGUAAAUAACAAAGAAAUAAAGAAAUAACUUUUAUUAAGAAAGACAAUUGUCACUGAUUGAAUUCCAAGAACAAAAAAUGAAUUGUUGUGAUAGCUCGCUACUCUAUUUAGUCUUAUGUCGACUUAAAACCUAAGGAACUAUUCACUAGAAUGUUCAACAAGAAACCACAGACUUUUAGGUCAAAAUAGGUAGCUUGUUUCCGAAGCAAAAGCAGCAAAAGAGCACCCUGAAGCUUGGCACGGGCCGUGCUGCUGGUGGCACGGGCCGUGCCUCCUCGCUGACCUGGGGAGUGACAUAUUUUUGUCCCAUAUUUCAUAUUUUCAUCCUGAAUCAACUUCUAAUCCUCUUUCUUUUGCUCUAAGACUCAAUCUAUCAAACAUUCGUUCCUGAAAUAUAAUAAUUUGCAAUUGAAGUAAAAUAGUUCUAAAAGGAAAUAAUAUUUAAAUAAAAUAAACUUAAAUCUAAGUAAAACGGAAUCAAAUAUUAUAUUAAAACUACUAAUUAUUGACUCAUCAAUACUCAUCCUCAAAUAUCUUUAAGGAAACAUUUUGAUUUCUUUGAAUCAAAUUAAAACCAAAUCCACCGCUAUUUUAUCCUGUUCAAGGUAUUAACACCCGCUUGAGGGUCAAUUCGAAGCUCAAUCAUCCAGAAACCCUGCACUUUGUGUAAUUUAAGUGUUAAUAGAAAGGAUGUCUUAAUGCCACAUAAAUGACAAUUUAUAAAUGUAAAUAAAGGACAAAAGGCAUAGAACUUGCAAAAGAAAUAAUAAUUUCAAAACAUGAAUAAAAAGAGGAACCAAAUUAUAUACUAAAAAUUAGUAGCAUGCUGAGCAAGUUUGUCAAAUAUAUAUAAUAUUUUAUAUAUAGAUUUUUUCAAUAUAAGCCAGACGAUGUAGAUAAUUAAAUUAGCCUAAGCAAUAAUGCAAUAGAAUAUUCACACAAUGGAUUCUUAUAAAACAACAUACACAGAUGAACAUAAAUUCAAACAUGUAACUUACUUUCAAAAUAUUGGAACUAAGCUUUCAACAUAAUCUAUGACAUCGUCCCAAUAUGCAUUAUCUCUAGUUCUAUUAUCGGUAACAGGUCUACAUACAAUAAUUUAUGUUCGCUUAGUUCUGUUAUCUCUCCUAUUAUAGAGAAUUGUUUCAGAUUCUUCAAUUGAAUGAUACAACAUUUAAACAAACUUUUCAACAAACAGUUGAUAUGCAUGAAAAUAAGUCCCCAUUGGUUUUAGGUAUUUGACAUUGUGGAUUAUUAUUGUAUAUUGAAAACAUAGGAGCAAAAUAAAAGAGUAAUAAAUCAAAGCAAAAGAGAUUUGAACGAAGUUUUAGGGUUACUAACCAGAGGGGAGUCACAGCCGGAGAGAGGCGUAGUGAUUCUGAAUUUGAAGUAGCGCAAUACACAUGGUUUUCAGAUACAAAAUGCCAAGUUUUUAACAAGUUUGAAGUAAUCAAAUUCUAUGUAUCUAAUCUAGUAAAUUUUUCGAGUUAAAAUCACUGGUCCCACCAAAAUAUUUGCCAAUCCUCCCAAUCUUACAAUUAAGAUUGUUGAUCCCACACAAUCCUACCAGAUUGCGGUUCUGUCUGUUAUUGGGAUAAUCCAAGUCGUCAAGGAUCUUACUUAUGAGUAAGAUCAUGAGUUUGACUACCUUGCCAAAUAAUUGUAACGUAUAAUUAUAACCCCAAUGUUUCUCAAAAUUAAAGUGUUUGUCAUGGUGUGGGGAUUUCUUCAUAUGGUUUUUGGGAUGGUUAGAAAUUUAGACUGAAUAAUAUUUAUAGGAGUAUCUUAGGCGGGUGCAAAGCUUGAUUUUGUCUCUUUUAGGAGACAUCUUUGUUGGGCAUAAAAUGCAUGGCAACAAAGGAUGCAUUUCGACAUCAUUGUCUUUGUAGUGCAUACUCAAGGAGAUAGUAAGUAAUGGUGAUGGAGUGCAUGCACACAAGCAUUGGUACUCAUGAGCCAGGCUCGCUUGUAUGCCUCUGGAAGAGAGAAUGCUACUCACGGCUUUUAAAGAGUCAACGUUGAACUGCAUUCUCAACAGGGACUCCUUACUAAGGUGUUACUGAAAACCUUGAUGUAGUAUCCUAGUAUUGAGAGCCAACAAAUCCAUUGAAAUGGUAGUGCCUUAGUUUUGGAGAAUGGACUAUUUCUCUAAUUCUCUAUUGAGUGUGGUACAAAGGGAGUCUGGUGUGAAUGAAGAGCACAAAGUGAUGUUCAUCAAGUGCACUUCUAGAGGGUUGCUGUCUUUGUGGUGGCUUAGCAACAUUUAUCUUGAUAUACUUCACCCAAAACAGAAGUUAUUGUUAGAAUUAUUUUGUUUAUCCCUUUUCAAAGUUGUUUUCUAUUUAAAUAUAACUUAGUGAUGUUGAUGUAAACCAAAAAUCAGAAUAGACAAUUGUAACCGCAAGUUCUCAAAUCAUGGGGUUCUGACAGUGGCCCAAUAUGGAUGUAGUGCUCAAUAUAAGAUAUGUAAUUUUAGUUUUAGGUUUCUUGUUAUUUUUUAUUCAUAUCUUCUCUCAUUGCAGAAGAAAGUUGUGCAUUGUAGGCUGUUUAGAUGAAACGCAAAUUGAUGUAAAAGAAGAGAAAAGAAACAGUAAUCAGGCCAGAUAAGGAACUGGAAAAUGAAGAAUUGAAACCCUCAAUGUUGCUUGUUUUAUAAACCUGUUCUCUACCUGUGUUUCGUAAUGACAUUUGUUAAUGUUUCCAAUGUUUGUGUGGUUGUAGGUGGUCCACAAGCUGCAUGUAUGGGCUGUGCUGGCUUUGCCGCAUUCUCAGUCGUCAUAGAGAAGUUUCUAGAGAGGCAUCAAUAAGUGAAUUAACUUGGAUCAAUUUUGUAUUCUUCGAUCAUAGUUUAAGUUCUUGAUCAAAAUAUUUUGCCCAUACGAUAGAGGGACGUGAUAGGGAGCAAGACAAAUUGCAAUAUUAUUUCACAUCUGUAAUUUAUUUGUAUACAAUGUCAUUGGCGGAUGCAUUCUCCGAACUUGGGAAAGCUCUGUGAUGACAUGGUUUAGUAUUGGAAAAUGCCAAGCAUUACGAAAACCAUAGGGAGCAAUAAUUGUGAUGAACUCUUUAAAGUGCUUAGCACUCCUGUUUAGUGGUAAUAGUUAAUUUCAAUAGAUUUUUCUUUGUAAUUCAUUCUUUUUU
Molecule: long non-coding RNA, 10387 nt
Filed under: Medicago truncatula (barrel medic)
Lineage: Eukaryota; Viridiplantae; Streptophyta; Magnoliopsida; Fabales; Fabaceae
Description: long non-coding RNA (MTRU_LNC008658)
Source: RNAcentral